RNAcentral lists this ribosomal RNA (421 nucleotides) under uncultured bacterium. RNAcentral describes it as "bacterial SSU rRNA". It matches the Rfam family "Bacterial small subunit ribosomal RNA", at positions 356 to 774 of the family's 1533-position model. The record is from RNAcentral.
AAGGAAUAUUGGACAAUGGAGGCAACUCUGAUCCAGCCAUGCCGCGUGAAGGAAUAAGGCCCUAUGGGUUGUAAACUUCUUUUAGACGGGACAAAACCCCUUUACGUGUAAAGGGUUGAUGGUACUGUCAGAAUAAGCACCGGCUAACUCCGUGCCAGCAGCCGCGGUAAUACGGAGGGUGCGAGCGUUAUCCGGAUUUACUGGGUUUAAAGAGUGCGUAGGUGGGCUUAUAAGUCAGUGGUGAAAUCUCCGAGCUUAACUUGGAAACUGCCGUUGAUACUAUAGGUCUUGAAUUAUCUGGAGGUAAGCGGAAUAUGUCAUGUAGCGGUGAAAUGCUUAGAUAUGACAUAGAACACCAAUUGCGAAGGCAGCUUACUACAUAUAAAUUGACGCUGAGGCACGAAAGCGUGGGGAUCAAACA